CUGGAGGUAUCAGAAGUGCGAAUGCUGACAUAAGUAACGAUAAAGCGGGUGAAAAGCCCGCUCGCCGGAAGACCAAGGGUUCCUGUCCAACGUUAAUCGGGGCAGGGUGAGUCGACCCCUAAGGCGAGGCCGAAAGGCGUAGUCGAUGGGAAACAGGUUAAUAUUCCUGUACUUGGUGUUACUGCGAAGGGGGGACGGAGAAGGCUAUGUUGGCCGGGCGACGGUUGUCCCGGUUUAAGCGUGUAGGCUGGUUUUCCAGGCAAAUCCGGAAAAUCAAGGCUGAGGCGUGAUGACGAGGCACUACGGUGCUGAAGCAACAAAUGCCCUGCUUCCAGGAAAAGCCUCUAAGCAUCAGGUAACAUCAAAUCGUACCCCAAACCGACACAGGUGGUCAGGUAGAGAAUACCAAGGCGCUUGAGAGAACUCGGGUGAAGGAACUAGGCAAAAUGGUGCCGUAACUUCGGGAGAAGGCACGCUGAUAUGUAGGUGAAGUCCCUCGCGGAUGGAGCUGAAAUCAGUCGAAGAUACCAGCUGGCUGCAACUGUUUAUUAAAAACACAGCACUGUGCAAACACGAAAGUGGAC
This 584-nucleotide ribosomal RNA is filed under the name Escherichia coli. Its description in RNAcentral is "partial 23S ribosomal RNA". It matches the Rfam family "Bacterial large subunit ribosomal RNA", at positions 1273 to 1842 of the family's 2925-position model. The record is from RNAcentral. Lineage: Bacteria; Pseudomonadati; Pseudomonadota; Gammaproteobacteria; Enterobacterales; Enterobacteriaceae.